This 441-nucleotide ribosomal RNA is filed under the name uncultured bacterium. RNAcentral's name for it is "partial 16S ribosomal RNA". It matches the Rfam family "Bacterial small subunit ribosomal RNA", at positions 339 to 795 of the family's 1533-position model. The record is from RNAcentral.
CUGCGGGGGGCAGCAGUGGGGAAUAUUGCGCAAUGGGGGAAACCCUGACGCAGCAACGCCGCGUGGAGGAUGAAGGUUUUCGGAUUGUAAACUCCUUUGAUGAGGGAAGAAAAAAAUGACGGUACCUCAAAAACAAGCCACGGCUAACUACGUGCCAGCAGCCGCGGUAAUACGUAGGUGGCAAGCGUUGUCCGGAUUUACUGGGUGUAAAGGGCGUGUGGGCGGGACUUCAAGUCAGAUGUGAAAUUUCAGGGCUCAACCCUGAAGCUGCAUCUGAAACUGUAGUUCUUGAGUGCUGAGAGGAAAGUGGUAUUCCUAGUGUAGCGGUGGAAUGCGUAGAUAUUAGGAGGAACACCAGUGGCGAAGGCGACUUUCUGGACAGUAACUGACGCUGAGGCGCGAAAGCGUGGGGAGCAAACAGGAUUAGAUACCCCUGUAGUC